Molecule: ribosomal RNA, 429 nt
Filed under: uncultured bacterium
Lineage: Bacteria
Description: bacterial SSU rRNA
Rfam family: Bacterial small subunit ribosomal RNA
Source: RNAcentral
UGGGGAAUAUUCCGCAAUGGACGAAAGUCUGACGGAGCAACGCCGCGUGAGUGAUGAAGGUUUUCGGACUGUAAAGCUCUGUUGUUUGGGACGAAAGUGCCUGUUGCGAACAGUUACGGGUAUUGACGGUACUAAACGAGGAAGCCACGGCUAACUACGUGCCAGCAGCCGCGGUAAUACGUAGGUGGCAAGCGUUGUCCGGAAUUAUUGGGCGUAAAGAGCAUGUAGGCGGGAAUCUAAGUCUGUUGUUAAAAUGCGGGGCUCAACCCCGUAUUGCGAUGGAAACUGGGUUUCUUGAGUGCAGGAGAGGAAAGGGGAAUUCCCAGUGUAGCGGUGAAAUGCGUAGAUAUUGGGAGGAACACCAGUGGCGAAGGCGCCUUUCUGGACUGUGUCUGACGCUGAGAUGCGAAAGCCAGGGUAGCGAACGGG